RNAcentral lists this unclassified non-coding RNA (433 nucleotides) under soil metagenome. Its description in RNAcentral is "partial contains 5.8S ribosomal RNA, internal transcribed spacer 2, and large subunit ribosomal RNA". The stretch from base 1 to 120 matches the Rfam family "5.8S ribosomal RNA", at positions 35 to 154 of the family's 154-position model. The record is from RNAcentral.
GAUGAAGAACGCAGCGAAAUGCGAUACGUAAUGUGAAUUGCAGAAUUCAGUGAAUCAUCGAAUCUUUGAACGCAUAUUGCGCUCUCUGGUAUUCCGGAGAGCAUGCUUGUUUGAGUAUCAGUAAACACCUCAACUUCCAUAUCUUUUUUGAAAUGGGAGUUGGACUUGAGUGAUCCCAACGCUUUUCCUCACCGAAAAGUGGCGGGUUACUUGAAAUGCAGGUGCAGCUGGACUUUUCUCUGAGCUAUAAGCAUAUCUAUUUAGUCUGCCUAAAAAACAGAUUAUUACCUUUGCUGCAGCUAACAUAAAGGAGAUUAGUUCUUGUGCUGACUGAUGCAGGAUUCACAAAGACAGGCUUCGGCCGACUUUGUAAACUCGAUCUCACAUCAAGUAUGACUACCCGCUGAACUUAAGCAUAUCAAUAAGCGGAGGA